UGACCGGGGACCCGCACAAGCAGGCGGAGCAUGUGGUUUUAAUUCGAAGCAACGCGAAGAACCUUACCAGAUCUUGACAUCCAAUUGACCAUCUUUAAUCGAGAUUUUGCCUUCGGGUACAAUUGAGACAGGUGGUGCAUGGUUGUCGUCAGCUCGUGUCGUGAGAUGUUGGGUUAAGUCCCGCAACGAGCGCAACCCCUAUUGCUAGUUACCAUCAUUAAGUUGGGGACUCUAGCGAGACUGCCAGUGAUAAACUGGAGGAAGGUGGGGAUGACGUCAAAUCAUCAUGCCCCUUAUGACCUGGGCUACAAACGUGAUACAAUGGCUGGAACAAAGGGAUGCGAAGCAGUGAUGUGGAGCGAAACCCAUAAAAACAGUCUCAGUUCGGAUUGAAGUCUGCAACUCGACUUCAUGAAGUCGGAAUCGCUAGUAAUCGCGGAUCAGAACGCCGCGGUGAAUACGUUCUCGGGGUUU
Molecule: ribosomal RNA, 474 nt
Filed under: uncultured Acholeplasma sp.
Lineage: Bacteria; Bacillati; Mycoplasmatota; Mollicutes; Acholeplasmatales; Acholeplasmataceae
Description: bacterial SSU rRNA
Rfam family: Bacterial small subunit ribosomal RNA
Source: RNAcentral